GGAGGGUGCGAGCGUUGUCCGGAAUCACUGGGCGUAAAGGGCGCGUAGGUGGCUCGUUAAGUUGCCGGUGAAAUCCCGGGGCUCAACUCCGGGGCUGCCGGUAAGACUGGCGGGCUCGAGCACGGUAGAGGCAGAUGGAAUUCCCGGUGUAGCGGUGGAAUGCGUAGAGAUCGGGAAGAACACCAGUGGCGAAGGCGUUCUGCUGGGCCGUUGCUGACACUGAGGCGCGACAGCGUGGGGAGCAAACAGGAUUAGAUACCCUGGUAGUCCACGCCGUAAACGAUGGACACUAGGCGUCGGGGGGAGCGACCCCCUCGGUGCCGUCGCUAACGCAGUAAGUGUCCCGCCUGGGGAGUACGGCCGCAAGGCUG
RNAcentral lists this ribosomal RNA (371 nucleotides) under uncultured bacterium. RNAcentral describes it as "bacterial SSU rRNA". It matches the Rfam family "Bacterial small subunit ribosomal RNA", at positions 527 to 896 of the family's 1533-position model. The record is from RNAcentral.